GAUGAAGAACGUAGCGAAAUGCGAUAAGUAAUGUGAAUUGCAGAAUUCAGUGAAUCAUCGAAUCUUUGAACGCACAUUGCGCCCGCUAGUAUUCUGGCGGGCAUGCCUGUCCGAGCGUCAUUUCAACCCUCAAGCCCCCGGGCUUGGUGUUGGGGAUCGGCGAGCCUCCGCGCCCGCCGUCCCCUAAAUCUAGUGGCGGUCUCGCUGUAGCUUCCUCUGCGUAGUAGCACACCUCGCACUGGGAAACAGCGCGGCCCCGCCGUUAAACCCACAACUUCUGAACGUUUGACCUCGGAUCAGGUAGGAAUACCCGCUGAACUUAAGCAUAUCAAUAAGCGGAGGA
This 343-nucleotide unclassified non-coding RNA is filed under the name soil metagenome. RNAcentral's name for it is "partial contains 5.8S ribosomal RNA, internal transcribed spacer 2, and large subunit ribosomal RNA". The stretch from base 1 to 120 matches the Rfam family "5.8S ribosomal RNA", at positions 35 to 154 of the family's 154-position model. The record is from RNAcentral.